This 241-nucleotide non-coding RNA is filed under the name Paucilactobacillus suebicus. Its description in RNAcentral is "Lactobacillus suebicus T-box sequence". It matches the Rfam family "T-box leader". Rfam says of the family: Uncharged tRNA acts as the effector for transcription antitermination of genes in the T-box leader family. T-boxes are found upstream of many aminoacyl-tRNA synthetase genes and some amino acid biosynthetic genes usually in Gram-positive bacteria. The record is from RNAcentral. Lineage: Bacteria; Bacillati; Bacillota; Bacilli; Lactobacillales; Lactobacillaceae.
AGAAAUACGUUGAUUAGGUUAGUAGCCUAACGGAUUACGCAAAGAGAGCCUUCAUUUGAGUGAAAGAAGGACGAGUUCGUUAGUUGAAGAUCUCCUAUGAGUGCAUCUCUUCAUUAAAUUGAUAAGAUGCUGGCCACCCCAUUACAGGUGAUUGAUAUUAUAUAUAGAUAAAAUCAAUCUGAGACGUCAUCAGAGAUGAUGAUGUGAAUCAAGGUGGUAACACGUUCAAGACGUCCUUCAU